UAACAAAAAAUCGAUUUUUCGUAUGGUUUUUUUUAUGAAAUCUGCCUAAAAUCUGAUGACUGAUAGCAGUGUACCUAUGGAAUUGAGAAAACCCAGUUGCAUCUCCCAGUAUUUUGUAGCACUGUAUUUUUCGAGUCCAAUCAGACAACUUACUAAUGUGGAGCUAAUUGAUUGAAAACUUAGUACUACUACUUCAAGUUCAAUUAUGAUAGGCUUUUCAUUAGGAGCGAAUGGUUGGACAAAUCUAACGCUUCAAAUGGAAAUUGAAAGUUUUUCUUUUGAAAUCGGAUAAAUCUAAUAAAGUGGAUCAUUAAUUUGUAAGAUCGCAAUUUUGAUACAAAUAAUGUGAAUAUAUCUACAAAGCCACGUAAUAACAAAUGAAAAAACAUCAAACGUGCUAAUUCAACUUUAAUUUCAGCCUACAAUGUUGUGUCACGUAGUGCAAAUACAGAUUACAAAAUGCUUGGGAUUGGGAAAAUAGAUUGAAGUCGAUAUAUUUUUCUCAUCUAACAAUAAGAAUACACUGUGAAUUGUGAAUAUGUGUCCAUUCAAAGUGUGAUAUAUCAUGUAGAGGUGUGCUGUUCUUAAGUAUGUGAAAUAAUACGGGCAUAUCGGUAUCGAAAAAAAAAAAUAUUAAACCAUCACCAGAUCAGCUCCAAAACCAAGUAUAACAAAUAGUUUUCAAACUCGCCAAACCCCAGCAAAGACUACAAAAUCGACAAACCAUUCACCAAAAUUUUCUGUUACUUGUUAAAAACUUCAACGAGUGGAAAAUCGAAAUAGAUAAAUGUCAAAAUUCGACUGUUUGUAUGUGAACGAAAAUAGUGAAUAAUCCAAAUCUUCUCGACAUGGUGUUUCGUAUCAGCAAAAUUUUCAUCUAGUUUAUUAGGAAAUCAUAUCUUGUUUUACUGUUGGAAGCAGGUGAUCCUGAAUGUUUCCAUGUAAAAAUGAUUAACAAGCUAACAACUCUAAUUUAUAUCUAUUUUAUUGCUGAUGUUACGGACAAUAAUUAGAAACAAUGCUAUUUAUUUUGUAAAUAAAUGAUUUGUAGAUAGCCUCGUGUGGUUUCACAGUGAUGAUAUAAAGUAAAAGCAACGCCGCUCUUAUUCUUGGGCCCUGUAUUGCAAUAAUAGACAACAAUGUCACCCGGCGCUGGCUGCAACGUCACGGAUGCUGGACAGUGCGGAGGCGUGUCAAAGGUCGAGGGGGUUGCGAUCCAGGGACUGCUGGAAAUAUUGGUUCCGCAGCUAAGUACAGAUCUUUCCUAAACGUGAGC
This is a long non-coding RNA of Athalia rosae (coleseed sawfly), 1276 nucleotides long. RefSeq lists it as uncharacterized. Lineage: Eukaryota; Metazoa; Arthropoda; Insecta; Hymenoptera; Athaliidae. The record is from RefSeq and is a predicted model, not a curated record. The transcript is spliced from 3 exons.